AAAAAAAAAAAAAAAAAAAUCCCCUUUCCACAACACCAAAUUGUACUAUUAACAUCCAAAAAAAAGAAAAAGAAAAUAGGUAGCUAUGGCAACUACUACUUCACAUGCCACAAAUACAUGGAUUAAGACUAAGUUGUCAAUGCCAUCAUCAAAGGAGUUUGGUUUUGCAUCAAACUCUAUUUCUCUACUCAAAAAUCAACAUAAUAGGCAAAGUCUCAACAUUAAUUCCUCUCUUCAAGCUCCACCUAUACUUCAUUUUCCUAAACAAUCUUCAAAUUAUCAAACACCAAAGAAUAAUACAAUUUCACACCCAAAACAAGAAAACAACAACUCCUCUUCUUCUUCAACUUCCAAGUGGAAUUUAGUGCAGAAAGCAGCAGCAAUGGCUUUAGAUGCUGUAGAAAGUGCUUUAACUAAACAUGAACUUGAACACCCUUUGCCGAAAACAGCCGACCCACGAGUCCAGAUUUCUGGGAAUUUUGCUCCGGUACCGGAAAAUCCAGUCUGUCAAUCUCUUCCGGUCACCGGAAAAAUACCCAAAUGUGUUCAAGGCGUUUACGUUCGAAACGGAGCUAACCCUCUUUUUGAACCAACCGCCGGACACCAUUUCUUCGACGGCGACGGUAUGGUUCACGCCGUUCAAUUCAAAAAUGGGUCGGCUAGUUACGCUUGCCGUUUCACUGAAACAGAGAGGCUUGUUCAAGAAAAAGCUUUGGGUCGCCCUGUUUUCCCUAAAGCCAUUGGUGAAUUACAUGGUCACUCUGGAAUUGCAAGGCUUAUGCUGUUUUACGCUCGUGGGCUCUUCGGACUUGUUGAUCACAGUAAAGGAACUGGUGUUGCAAACGCCGGUUUAGUCUAUUUCAAUAACCGAUUACUUGCUAUGUCUGAAGA
This 891-nucleotide unclassified non-coding RNA is filed under the name Hevea brasiliensis (rubber tree). Lineage: Eukaryota; Viridiplantae; Streptophyta; Magnoliopsida; Malpighiales; Euphorbiaceae. The record is from RNAcentral.